This is a non-coding RNA of Oryza glaberrima (African rice), 177 nucleotides long. NCBI's taxonomy places the organism in Eukaryota, Viridiplantae, Streptophyta, Magnoliopsida, Poales, Poaceae. The record is from Rfam.
UUUUAUAGUGUAGAAUGAAUGGAUUCACCCGCGAUAUGACGUGACUGUUUCACCUAGGACGAGAACAUGGCAUCCUAUUAUCAGCCAUCGCACGAAAUUAAUAGGAUGCCACGUCCUCAUCUUACAUGGAACAACCACGUCAUCUCACGGAUAAAUCCAUUUAUCGAUAGUGUGGUU